AGGGGGAUAUUGCACAAUGGGCGAAAGCCUGAUGCAGCGACGCCGCGUGGGGGAUGAAGGCCUUCGGGUUGUAAACUUCUUUUGCUCUGAACAAGGCAUGCCUUUGGGGUGUGUUGAGUGUAGGGGUUGAUUAGCGCCGGCUAACUACGUGCCAGCAGCCGCGGUAAUACGUAGGGCGCGAGCGUUGUCCGGAAUUAUUGGGCGUAAAGGGCUUGUAGGUGGCUGGUUGCGUCUGUCGUUAAAGCUCAUGGCUUAACUGUGGGUUUGCGGUGGGUACGGGCUGGCUUGAGUGCAGUAGGGGGGGCUGGAAUUCCUGGUGGAGCGGUGGAAUGCGCAGAUAUCAGGAGGAAUACCGGUGGCGAAGACGGGUCUCUGGGCUGUUACUGACGCUGAGGAGCGAAAGCGUGGGGAGCGAACAGG
RNAcentral lists this ribosomal RNA (420 nucleotides) under Fusobacteriota bacterium. RNAcentral describes it as "Fusobacteria bacterium partial 16S ribosomal RNA". It matches the Rfam family "Bacterial small subunit ribosomal RNA", at positions 355 to 776 of the family's 1533-position model. Lineage: Bacteria; Fusobacteriati; Fusobacteriota. The record is from RNAcentral.